Molecule: ribosomal RNA, 490 nt
Filed under: uncultured bacterium
Lineage: Bacteria
Description: partial 16S ribosomal RNA
Rfam family: Bacterial small subunit ribosomal RNA
Source: RNAcentral
AUUGAACGCUGGCGGCAGGCCUAACACAUGCAAGUCGAACGGUAACAGGAAGCAGCUUGCUGCUUCGCUGACGAGUGGCGGACGGGUGAGUAAUGUCUGGGAAGCUGCCUGAUGGAGGGGGAUAACUACUGGAAACGGUAGCUAAUACCGCAUAAUGUCGCAAGACCAAAGAGGGGGACCUUCGGGCCUCUUGCCAUCGGAUGUGCCCAGAUGGGAUUAGCUUGUUGGUGGGGUAACGGCUCACCAAGGCGACGAUCCCUAGCUGGUCUGAGAGGAUGACCAGCCACACUGGAACUGAGACACGGUCCAGACUCCUACGGGAGGCAGCAGUGGGGAAUAUUGCACAAUGGGCGCAAGCCUGAUGCAGCCAUGCCGCGUGUAUGAAGAAGGCCUUCGGGUUGUAAAGUACUUUCAGCGGGGAGGAAGGAAGUAAAGUUAAUACCUUUGCUCAUUGACGUUACCCGCAGAAGAAGCACCGGCUAACUCCGUG